UACAGAGAGUGCAAGCGUUAAUCGGAAUUACUGGGCGUAAAGCGCGCGUAGGUGGAGUCUUAAGUCAAAUGUGAAAGCCCUGGGCUUAACCUAGGAACUGCAUUUGAUACUGGGAUUCUUGAGUAUGGUAGAGGGGAGUGGAAUUUCCGGUGUAGCGGUGAAAUGCGUAGAUAUCGGAAAGAACACCAGUGGCGAAGGCGACUCCCUGGACUAAUACUGACACUGAGGUGCGAAAGCGUGGGGAGCAAACAGG
This 253-nucleotide ribosomal RNA is filed under the name uncultured bacterium. Its description in RNAcentral is "partial 16S ribosomal RNA". It matches the Rfam family "Bacterial small subunit ribosomal RNA", at positions 524 to 776 of the family's 1533-position model. The record is from RNAcentral.